UUAGUUGAUGAUUUUGUAUGUAUAAGUUGUUUAAGUUAUCUUGGUUGGUACCAUUGAUACCUUGUUAGAUUGUGUCAUUUUGGUUAACUUGUGAUGCAUGUUUGGAAUAGCUCAUAUGAUAUGUUUUGAAUUGGUAUGAUAAUGGCCAAGAAUGGCAUUUUUAGAAAGUAUUGAACUAGAUAUUGAUGUUUGAACUUAGGUAAAGUUGACA
This 211-nucleotide long non-coding RNA is filed under the name Gossypium barbadense (sea-island cotton). Its description in RNAcentral is "long non-coding RNA (GBAR_LNC016556)". Lineage: Eukaryota; Viridiplantae; Streptophyta; Magnoliopsida; Malvales; Malvaceae. The record is from RNAcentral.